RNAcentral lists this transfer RNA (73 nucleotides) under Rheum officinale. RNAcentral describes it as "tRNA-Val". The stretch from base 9 to 73 matches the Rfam family "tRNA", at positions 1 to 63 of the family's 71-position model. Rfam says of the family: Transfer RNA (tRNA) molecules are approximately 80 nucleotides in length. Their secondary structure includes four short double-helical elements and three loops (D, anti-codon, and T loops). RNAcentral also lists the same sequence under 1 other name. Lineage: Eukaryota; Viridiplantae; Streptophyta; Magnoliopsida; Caryophyllales; Polygonaceae. The record is from RNAcentral.
CAAAAGCAAGGGCUAUAGCUCAGUUGGUAGAGCACCUCUGUUUUACCGAGCAGGUCUACGGUUCGAGUCCGUA